This is an RNA transcript of Mesocricetus auratus (golden hamster), 856 nucleotides long. It is a transcript of the gene named cyclin-dependent kinase inhibitor 2A, with no coding region annotated. The transcript is spliced from 4 exons. The record is from RefSeq and is marked provisional. NCBI's taxonomy places the organism in Eukaryota, Metazoa, Chordata, Mammalia, Rodentia, Cricetidae.
UUCGCUCCCCCCCCCCCAACCUUUAAGAGGAAGAGAGAGGGCCCCCGGGCUGGUCACGCGAGGAUGGGGCGGGCACUGGAUCUCCGAGAGGGAGGCGAUCGACAGGGGAGCAUUUGGAGCAGCAUGGAGCCCUCUGCGGACCGGCUGGCUAGGGCGGCUGCCCAGGGCCGCGAGCAAGAGGUUCGGGCUCUGCUGGAAGCAGGGGUUUCGCCCAACGCCCCGAACUGUUUCGGCCGCACCCCGAUUCAGGUGAUGAUGAUGGGCAACACCCAAGUAGCCAGACUGCUGCUGCUCUACGGUGCGGAACCGAACUGCGAGGACCCAGCCACCCUCUCCCGACCCGUGCACGAUGCAGCACGGGAGGGCUUCUUGGAAACUCUGGCGAUACUACACCAGGCGGGGGCGCGGCUGGAUGUGCUUGACGCCCGGGGUCGCCUGCCGGUGGACCUGGCCCUGGAGCGGGGCCAUCGCGAUGUCGUACAGUAUCUACGUGCGGCUGGGAACACCCCCCAAGGCAGCGAGCCGGCAGGCGUAACUUCUGCCCAGACACCCCCAGGUCUGCACGCCGGAGCAGAGGAGUGAGAUCAGAGCAAAGAAGUGGUUUGAGAAGCUGCUGCGCGAACGCCGGAGUGAGGGUCGCAGAGGUCUCGGAUUUCGCGGACCACCCCCUAGGGCCCUACUAAGCCCCUCUUCAGCCUGCCCCGUUCUCCACCUUGGAUCCACCUCUGGAAAGUAGAACAGCGCUUGGCUGGUCCCGAUUCGCGUCUGUGAUUCUAGUACGUGGGAGGCUGAGGCGGGAGCAGCUAGAGGCCCGCUUGCUCUACAAGGAAAUAAAAGGAAAUAAUGCUUUUAAAAA